UAAAAGCCAUGCAGCUUUGGGUCCGUUGUUUGGAGAAUCGAGUUUCUGCUGUUAGAAGAGGUUUAAUGCAGUAGAGCUGCUUGUUUAGUUUUUCAGCCGUGAAGCUUUUGUUCAGAAGGGAAAUGAACUGAGUGUGUAGUUUAAAAGAUAAAUGUUAUUUAUAUAAGUGAAGCUCUUUAGUUUAGAGACUCUGGCGUGUGGAAGCACUGCAGCUUUACUAGGCCAUGAAAUGCAUAGCUUCAAGACUCGACCUGAUGAUGAUGAUGAUGAUGAUGAAAGAAGUGAUCGUGUCACUGAUCAGAAGACUGACCAUCCAGACUCUCUCGAGUGUCUCGUUCAGUCCCUCGAUUGCCUGAGAGGAGAAACCUCUGAGUCUCUCGGUGUUGGUCCUCAGGAUCUGGUCGCACUUCCUUGAUGGGGGAACUUUGGUGAAAGGCUCAGACAAUUCUCCUGGUCCUGCAUUGCUGCUUGGAAAUUUCUGUGAUGUGCCGGAGACAAGUCUUGAUUUCUUCACCAUUCUGGUCCACACAUUGAACCAGCUGUAUUCUGUCCACCUGCUUGAUUGUCCAGGUGUUGUAAUGCAGCAGUUCCUGACUGGGGACUGGACAAACUGCACAAGCAAUUUUUCAACUCGGCUAUUGCUGCUCCAUUACAACUUUAUUUAUUUGUAUGUACAUAAUAUAGAAAUAAAAAUGUUCUUGGAUUUGA
This is a long non-coding RNA of Tachysurus vachellii, 708 nucleotides long. RefSeq lists it as uncharacterized. The transcript is spliced from 4 exons. The record is from RefSeq and is a predicted model, not a curated record. NCBI's taxonomy places the organism in Eukaryota, Metazoa, Chordata, Actinopteri, Siluriformes, Bagridae.